Molecule: ribosomal RNA, 292 nt
Filed under: Sphingobacteriia bacterium 35-36-14
Lineage: Bacteria; Pseudomonadati; Bacteroidota; Sphingobacteriia
Description: partial 23S ribosomal RNA
Rfam family: Bacterial large subunit ribosomal RNA
Source: RNAcentral
AGACAGUUCGGUCCCUAUCUGUGGUGGGCGCUAGUAAAUUGAGUGGACAUGACCUUAGUACGAGAGGACCGGGUUGUACGUACCGCUGGUGUAUCUGUUGUGCCGCCAGGUGCAGUGCAGAGUAGCUAUGUACGGCAAGGAUAAACGCUGAAAGCAUCUAAGCGUGAAACCUUCCACAAGAUGAGUUUACUUUUAAGGGUCGUCAAAGACUAUGACGUUGAUAGGCUAUAGGUGUAAAAAUGGUAACAUUAAAGCCAAGUAGUACUAAUUGCCCGUAAGCUUUAUUUUUUUA